RNAcentral lists this ribosomal RNA (406 nucleotides) under uncultured bacterium. RNAcentral describes it as "partial 16S ribosomal RNA". It matches the Rfam family "Bacterial small subunit ribosomal RNA", at positions 30 to 526 of the family's 1533-position model. The record is from RNAcentral.
AUUGAACGCUGGCGGCAGGCCUAACACAUGCAAGUCGAACGAGUGGCGGACGGGUGAGUAAUGUCUGGGAAACUGCCUGAUGGAGGGGGAUAACUACUGGAAACGGUAGCUAAUACAGCAUACCAUCGGAUGUGCCCAGAUGGGAUUAGCUAGUAGGUGGGGUAAAGGCUCACCUAGGCGACGAUCCCUAGCUGGUCUGAGAGGAUGACCAGACACACUGGAACUGAGACACGGUCAAGACUCCGACGGGAGGCAGCAGUGGGGAAUAGUUCGCAGUGGUCGCAAGCCUGAUUCAGCCAGCCCCAGUGUAUGAAGAAGGCCUUCGGGUUGUAAAGUACUUUCACCGGGGAGGCGGUACCCGCAGAAGAAGCACCGGCUAACUCCGUGCCAGCAGCCGCGGUAAUUC